Molecule: long non-coding RNA, 763 nt
Filed under: Nicotiana benthamiana
Lineage: Eukaryota; Viridiplantae; Streptophyta; Magnoliopsida; Solanales; Solanaceae
Description: long non-coding RNA (NBEN_LNC013889)
Source: RNAcentral
CCUCCUUCAAUUUAUUAACAAACUCCAAACCUAGCUUUGUGCAAUAGCCAUAAUCCUUGAUCUAGAAAAAUUCAAAUCAAAUAACAGCCUCGGGAUCGAAAACGCAGCUAGAACCACGACCGGAAACCUUCUAACUUGAACGGAAUUUCAUGAUAGCUCUGGCAAUAUUUUGAGCUUCGCUCAUGGUUGUUCUUUAACAAACGUUGGGGCUGAUUUUUGGAGCUCUUGCUGGUAUUUACACAGCUGAAACAAAUUAUUUUCAACUUGUUUAAGGAUGGUUUUGAGGGUAGAUUUGGGAGGCGAACUGCUGCGUUUUUUUGCAACGACUUGGGACUGAUUUAAGGAAAUUUUCGGCUGGAAAAGAGGCAGCGUUUUGGACCUAUCUUGCAGCUGGUUUUACCCACUUUUUCUGUGCCGUUUUCACAGCUAUUUCAGCUGGGUUUCGGUGGGUUAUGGUUGUAUUUUUGCAGUGAAAAGAAGGCUGCUUUUCAGCUGGUUUUCCAGCAGCAAUGCAACCGUUUCAGAGUUGGUUUUUAGGCAUUUUUGCAGCUGAGCUUGCUGCAGAUUUUUGCUUGAGUUUUGGUGGCUAAAGGUGACCUUACAUGGCAAAAAUAGAGGAAAGAAUGGCCAGUUUUUUUUUACGAAGAGGGAGGCUAUGUUACUUUUUCAAUUUCUCCCCAUAUCUCCUCUUUCUGUAGCGUCCUUUUUUGUUUUUCAAAUGAGAAUAAUCGAUCCCUUUUUUCCAAAUCCAGAGAAGUAGUUG